This 253-nucleotide ribosomal RNA is filed under the name uncultured bacterium. Its description in RNAcentral is "partial 16S ribosomal RNA". It matches the Rfam family "Bacterial small subunit ribosomal RNA", at positions 524 to 776 of the family's 1533-position model. The record is from RNAcentral.
UACAGAGGGUGCAAGCGUUGUUCGGAAUUAUUGGGCGUAAAGGGCGCGUAGGCGGCCUUCUAAGUCAGACGUGAAAUCCCCCGGCUUAACCUGGGAACUGCGUCUGAUACUGGGAGGCUAGAGUGCGGGAGAGGGAUGCGGAAUUCCAGGUGUAGCGGUGAAAUGCGUAGAUAUCUGGAGGAACACCGGUGGCGAAGGCGGCAUCCUGGACCGACACUGACGCUGAGGCGCGAAAGCUAGGGUAGCAAACGGG